UUGGUGAGAGCACUGUGGCACAGUGCCUGCCUGGCAAGCAGGAAUCCCUGAGUUUGAUUCUCAGUACCAAA
RNAcentral lists this transfer RNA (71 nucleotides) under Cavia porcellus (domestic guinea pig). It matches the Rfam family "tRNA". Rfam says of the family: Transfer RNA (tRNA) molecules are approximately 80 nucleotides in length. The record is from Rfam by way of RNAcentral. Lineage: Eukaryota; Metazoa; Chordata; Mammalia; Rodentia; Caviidae.